Molecule: non-coding RNA, 46 nt
Organism: Aedes aegypti (yellow fever mosquito)
Lineage: Eukaryota; Metazoa; Arthropoda; Insecta; Diptera; Culicidae
Source: Rfam
AAAACGGCCCUUUUCAGGGCCAAAAUUACGAUUAAAGAGUUGUUUU